CCCAGACUCCUACGGGAGGCAGCAGUGGGGAAUAUUGCACAAUGGGGGAAACCCUGAUGCAGCGACGCCGCGUGAGUGAAGAAGUAUUUCGGUAUGUAAAGCUCUAUCAGCAGGGAAGAAAAUGACGGUACCUGAUUAAGAAGCCCCGGCUAACUACGUGCCAGCAGCCGCGGUAAUACGUAGGGGGCAAGCGUUAUCCGGAUUUACUGGGUGUAAAGGGAGCGUAGACGGUGAUGCAAGUCAGAAGUGAAAGCCCGGGGCUCAACUCCGGGACUGCUUUUGAAACUGUGUGACUGGAGUGCAGGAGAGGUAAGCGGAAUUCCUGGUGUAGCGGUGAAAUGCGUAGAUAUCAGGAGGAACACCAGUGGCGAAGGCGGCUUACUGGACUGUAACUGACGUUGAGGCUCGAAAGCGUGGGGAGCAAACAGGAUUAGAUACCCGUGUAGAA
Molecule: ribosomal RNA, 448 nt
Filed under: uncultured bacterium
Lineage: Bacteria
Description: bacterial SSU rRNA
Rfam family: Bacterial small subunit ribosomal RNA
Source: RNAcentral